RNAcentral lists this ribosomal RNA (253 nucleotides) under uncultured bacterium. RNAcentral's name for it is "partial 16S ribosomal RNA". It matches the Rfam family "Bacterial small subunit ribosomal RNA", at positions 524 to 776 of the family's 1533-position model. The record is from RNAcentral.
UAUAGAGGGUGCGAGCGUUGUUCGGAAUUAUUGGGCGUAAAGCGCAUGUAGGCGGCCUAUUAAGUCGCGUGUGAAAGCUCCAGGCUCAACCUGGAAAGUGCGCGCGAAACUGGAAGGCUUGAGUGCCGGAGGGGGUGGCGGAAUUCCCGGUGUAGAGGUGAAAUUCGUAGAUAUCGGGAGGAACACCAGAGGCGAAGGCGGCCACCUGGACGGACACUGACGCUGAGACGCGAAAGCGUGGGGAGCAAACAGG